GACGAACGCUGGCGGCGUGCCUAAUACAUGCAAGUAGAACGCUGAAGGAGGAGCUUGCUUCUCUGGAUGAGUUGCGAACGGGUGAGUAACGCGUAGGUAACCUGCCUGGUAGCGGGGGAUAACUAUUGGAAACGAUAGCUAAUACCGCAUAAUAUUGACUAUUGCAUGAUAGUCAGUUGAAAGGUGCAACUGCACCACUACCAGAUGGACCUGCGUUGUAUUAGCUAGUUGGUGGGGUAACGGCUCACCAAGGCGACGAUACAUAGCCGACCUGAGAGGGUGAUCGGCCACACUGGGACUGAGACACGGCCCAGACUCCUACGGGAGGCAGCAGUAGGGAAUCUUCGGCAAUGGACGGAAGUCUGACCGAGCAACGCCGCGUGAGUGAAGAAGGUUUUCGGAUCGUAAAGCUCUGUUGAAAGAGAAGAACGAGUGUGAGAGUGGAAAGCUCACACUGUGACGGUAUCUUACCAGAAAGGGACGGCUAACUACGUG
This 495-nucleotide ribosomal RNA is filed under the name uncultured bacterium. RNAcentral's name for it is "partial 16S ribosomal RNA". It matches the Rfam family "Bacterial small subunit ribosomal RNA", at positions 28 to 507 of the family's 1533-position model. The record is from RNAcentral.